Molecule: ribosomal RNA, 504 nt
Filed under: uncultured bacterium
Lineage: Bacteria
Description: partial 16S ribosomal RNA
Rfam family: Bacterial small subunit ribosomal RNA
Source: RNAcentral
AUUGAACGCUGGCGGCAGGCCUAACACAUGCAAGUCGAACGGUAGCACAGAGAGCUUGCUCUCGGGUGACGAGUGGCGGACGGGUGAGUAAUGUCUGGGAAACUGCCCGAUGGAGGGGGAUAACUACUGGAAACGGUAGCUAAUACCGCAUAACGUCUUCGGACCAAAGUGGGGGCCCUUCGGGCCUCACACCAUCGGAUGUGCCCAGAUGGGAUUAGCUAGUAGGUGGGGUAAUGGCUCACCUAGGCGACGAUCCCUAGCUGGUCUGAGAGGAUGACCAGCCACACUGGAACUGAGACACGGUCCAGACUCCUACGGGAGGCAGCAGUGGGGAAUAUUGCACAAUGGGCGCAAGCCUGAUGCAGCCAUGCCGCGUGUAUGAAGAAGGCCUUCGGGUUGUAAAGUACUUUCAGCGGGGAGGAAGGCGAUGUGGUCAAUAACCAUGUCGAUUGACGUUACCCGCAGAAGAAGCACCGGCUAACUCCGUGCCAGCCGCCGCCGUAA